Molecule: long non-coding RNA, 1643 nt
Organism: Equus caballus (horse)
Lineage: Eukaryota; Metazoa; Chordata; Mammalia; Perissodactyla; Equidae
Source: Ensembl
AAUAUAAUCAAAUCCUGUAUGUGUGCCUGACCGCAUGACAGACAAAGAAGAGAAGCACAGACAGUUUAAAUGAUCUGCCUAAAUUCACCAGCUAAUUAGCGGCAGAGCCAAGAUCUGAAGUCAGGCAGUCUGGCUGCAGGCCCCAACCAUGCUGAAAUGCCUCCAAAAGUCUAGGAAGAAAAUGUGGCGCACCCAGACCUUGAGGAUACUGCGGAAGUUUCCCCCUCCUGGCAAGCAGUCCCACACCACCAGGCUAGCGUUCUUUAGAAUGACAAUAAAUGCAGUAUUUAAAGAAAUGAGAUACAAGUGAAAUGCUACGGUUAGAAAUUCUUUGACUAACAAUCUGAGAGAAGGAACAUUUGAAGGUCAUAGAUUAAUUGUCCAUGGAUAACAUCAGUGGAAGUUUCAAAAUAGACAAAGGGCUCUUAUGCUUCAAACUCGAUGAAAAACUCUGUCUUUUCAAGGUGAAUCUAGUUCCUCUGCAUUUUGUGAAAACUUUUUGUGCUCCUAAAGUAAGUUUUCGUUCCUGAAAAUUUCUUAAAACUUCAAACUACUGGGGGGCCGGCCUGGUGGCACAGUGGUUAAGUUCAUAGUCUCCACUUCAGCUGCCCGGGGUUCACAGUUCAGAUGCCAGGCGUGGACGUAGCACCGCUCAUCAAGCCAUGCUGUGGCAGCAUCCCACAUAAAAUAGAGGACGAUUGGCACGGACGUUAGCUCAGCAAUAAUGUUCCUCAAACAAAAAGAGGAAGAUUGGCAACAGAUGUUAGCUCAGGGCCAAUCUUCCUCACACACACACACAUACACACACAAACACAUAAAAUUCAAACAACUGAAAAAGUAAAAUAGGGAGCAUUCAAAAGUGGAAAAACUUAACUUGAUGUGCAAACAUAGAAAAUGUCACCAUUAAUUAGCAAAAUAAAAAUCUUACCUUAGAAAAACAAACAUAUCCAUAUUACAAAAGAUAGUACACAAAUCUGAAGCUGCAUAUGAAAUGAUUCAUUCUGCUUACCUGUCUAAAAAAGGGUGCAUGUUUCAAAAUGUUACCUUAGAGACUGAUUUAAAAUGGCACAUCUGGCACUACACUGGACAACUGUAAUCCACACGAGCUAUUUAAAAGUAAUCAUAACACCCUUUAGAGAAUUUGACUUUGGAAAUUACGUUAUCCUCAAGUCUAUAUCAAUUAACUACUUUCUUUUGUCUGAAGGCUUUGGGAGGCCUGAAGUUUUACAAUCUGGGAGCCCCUCUUUCAAGAAAAAAGUAACAGACAUAGAAUUUUGUACAAAAGGGAACAUUUGUUUAGAAUUAGAAAGGAAAUCACAACACAUUACAGAUUCUAAAAAGCUGAAAAAUACAACAAAAACUUCACAAAAAUUGAGACAAAUAAUAUUUAUGUCUAUCUGAUAAUUACCAUAAUACAUGGUUUCCAAUAUUUUUUAGCUGCAUACUCUUACCACUUCUUAAAAUAUCAAUUAUUUGAAAUAUCAUUCCCUAUAGAGACAAGAAAGCUAACUUAGUCUUUUUUCUACCACGUCAACCUUCAAAAAGACUCAUUCAAGUGAGGGGACCCAAAGUUUAAGCUUCAGUAUUUUCAUCAUAACUUUACCUCUGCUUUGGACAUAUGUUGUCAAAUGGCUUUGAAAUAU